RNAcentral lists this ribosomal RNA (253 nucleotides) under uncultured bacterium. RNAcentral's name for it is "partial 16S ribosomal RNA". It matches the Rfam family "Bacterial small subunit ribosomal RNA", at positions 524 to 776 of the family's 1533-position model. The record is from RNAcentral. RNAcentral also lists the same sequence under 1 other name.
UACAGAGGUGGCAAGCGUUGUUCGGAAUUACUGGGCGUAAAGCGCGUGUAGGCGGCUCUUCAAGUCAGGCGUGAAAGCCCCGGGCUCAACUCGGGAACUGCGCUUGAUACUGUCGAGCUAGAGUGUGGAAGGGGCGAUUGGAAUUCCGUGUGUAGCGGUGAAAUGCGUAGAUAUACGGAGGAACACCAGAGGCGAAGGCGGAUCGCUGGGCCAACACUGACGCUGAGACGCGAAAGCUAGGGUAGCAAACAGG